GACGAGUACCCCAAGCGUUAUCCGGAAUCACUGGGCGUAAAGCGUGCGUAGGCGGUCUAGUUUGUCUGUUGUCAAAGCCCCCGGCUUAACCGGGGAUCCGCGACAGAAACGGCUAGACUCGAGGGGGCGAGAGGUCUAUGGAACUCAUGGUGUAGGGGUGAAAUCCGUUGAUAUCAUGGGGAACACCAAAAGCGAAGGCAGUAGACUAGCGCCUCUCUGACGCUGCAGCACGAAAGCGUGGGGAUCAAACGGG
This 253-nucleotide ribosomal RNA is filed under the name uncultured bacterium. Its description in RNAcentral is "partial 16S ribosomal RNA". It matches the Rfam family "Bacterial small subunit ribosomal RNA", at positions 524 to 776 of the family's 1533-position model. The record is from RNAcentral.